This 547-nucleotide ribosomal RNA is filed under the name Asytesta cf. albifrons MB-2015. Its description in RNAcentral is "partial 16S ribosomal RNA". It matches the Rfam family "Bacterial large subunit ribosomal RNA", at positions 1825 to 2635 of the family's 2925-position model. The record is from RNAcentral. Lineage: Eukaryota; Metazoa; Arthropoda; Insecta; Coleoptera; Curculionidae.
GGSUUAUUGAGUAUAAUUUUAGGUYUAGCCUGCCCAAUGAGGUUUUAAAUGGCCGCGGUAUUUUGACCGUGCAAAGGUAGCAUAAUCAUUAGUUUUUUAAAUGAAAGCUUGUAUGAAGGGUUUGAUGAGAAAUUAGCUGUCUCUAUUUAAAUUAAUUAGAAUUUUAUUUUUAAGUAAAAAAGCUUAAAUAUGUGUGAAAGACGAGAAGACCCUAUAGAGUUUUAUGUUUAUUUUUUAGUAAAAUUUUUGGUAUUAGUGUGUUUAUUAAAGAGUAAGUGUUUCGUUGGGGUGAUGGGAAAAUUUAAAAAACUUUUCUUUUAUUGAUACAUUUGUUUAUGGUUAAGUGAUCCUUGAUUUAAAGAUAAUAAGAUAAAAUUACCUUAGGGAUAACAGCGUAAUUUUUUUUUAGAGUUCAGAUUAAAAAAAAAGAUUGCGACCUCGAUGUUGGAUUAAAAUUUAUUGUUGGUGCAGAAGCUAAUAAAUUAGGUCUGUUCGACCUAUAAAAUUUUACAUGAUCUGAGUUUARACCGGCGUGAGCCAGGUCGGU